GACGUAGGGAGCGAGCGUUGUCCGGAUUCAUUGGGCGUAAAGGGCGCGUAGGUGGCCUGUUAAGUCGAACGUGAAAUCCCCGGGCUCAACCCGGGAACUGCGUCCGAGACUGGCAGGCUCGAAUCCGGGAGAGGGAUGUGGAAUUCCAGGUGUAGCGGUGAAAUGCGUAGAUAUCUGGAGGAACACCGGUGGCGAAGGCGGCAUCCUGGACCGGUAUUGACGCUGAGGCGCGAAAGCCAGGGGAGCAAACGGG
RNAcentral lists this ribosomal RNA (253 nucleotides) under uncultured bacterium. RNAcentral describes it as "partial 16S ribosomal RNA". It matches the Rfam family "Bacterial small subunit ribosomal RNA", at positions 524 to 776 of the family's 1533-position model. The record is from RNAcentral.